RNAcentral lists this ribosomal RNA (460 nucleotides) under uncultured bacterium. RNAcentral's name for it is "partial 16S ribosomal RNA". It matches the Rfam family "Bacterial small subunit ribosomal RNA", at positions 338 to 795 of the family's 1533-position model. The record is from RNAcentral.
CCUACGGGAGGCAGCAGUGAGGAAUAUUGGUCAAUGGGCGUAAGCCUGAACCAGCCAAGUCGCGUGAGGGAUGAAGGUUCUAUGGAUUGUAAACCUCUUUUAUAAGGGAAUAAAAUGUGGGACGCGUCCUAUUUUGUAUGUACCUUAUGAAUAAGCAUCGGCUAACUCCGUGCCAGCAGCCGCGGUAAUACGGAGGAUCCGAGCGUUAUCCGGAUUUAUUGGGUUUAAAGGGUGCGUAGGCGGCCUUUUAAGUCAGCGGUGAAAGUCUGUGGCUCAACCCUAGAAUUGCCGUUGAAACUGGGGGGCUUGAGUAUGUGUGAGGCAGGCGGAAUGCGUGGUGUAGCGGUGAAAUGCUUAGAUAUCACGCAGAACCCCGAUUGCGAAGGCAGCCUGCCAGGCCAUAACUGACGCUGAUGCACGAAAGCGUGGGGAUCAAACAGGAUUAGAUACCCUAGUAGUC